UGCUUCGGUAGCCUAGUCAUUAAAGCAUCCUCCUCGGAUGCGGGAAGUCGCUGGUUCGAAUCCCAGCCGAGUCAU
This is a non-coding RNA of Potamilus streckersoni, 75 nucleotides long. The record is from the annotation of a GenBank genome assembly. NCBI's taxonomy places the organism in Eukaryota, Metazoa, Mollusca, Bivalvia, Unionida, Unionidae.